AGAGUUUGAUCCUGGCUCAGAACGAACGCUGGCGGCAGGCCUAACACAUGCAAGUCGAACGCUCGUAGCAAUACGGGAGUGGCGCACGGGUGAGUAACGCGUGGGCACCUGCCCGGUGGUUUGGGAUAACCGUGGGAAACUGCGGCUAAUACCGGAUACGCCCCUAGGGGGAAAGAUUUAUCGCCAUCGGAUGGGCCCGCGUAGGAUUAGCUAGUUGGUGAGGUAACGGCUCACCAAGGCGACGAUCCUUAGCUGGUCUGAGAGGAUGAUCAGCCACACUGGGACUGAGACACGGCCCAGACUCCUACGGGAGGCAGCAGUGGGGAAUCUUGGACAAUGGGCGCAAGCCUGAUCCAGCCAUGCCGCGUGAGUGAAGAAGGCCUUCGGGUUGUAAAGCUCUUUUACCAGGGACGAUAAUGACGGUACCUGAGAAUAGCCCCCAUCCCU
RNAcentral lists this ribosomal RNA (447 nucleotides) under uncultured Pedomicrobium sp. RNAcentral describes it as "bacterial SSU rRNA". It matches the Rfam family "Bacterial small subunit ribosomal RNA", at positions 8 to 504 of the family's 1533-position model. The record is from RNAcentral. Lineage: Bacteria; Pseudomonadati; Pseudomonadota; Alphaproteobacteria; Hyphomicrobiales; Hyphomicrobiaceae.